GGAUGGUAGGCCAGUCAAUAGAACUUAAUGACCCUGCAUGUCUUGCACGUUUUCGCCCGAAUGUCUUCGAGACUAGGUACAUAAUAAUUUGUCACCCGGAUCAAAACCCAUGAUUUGACACCCGGAUCAAAAUCUCCCAUAAACCAGACAUUCAGGGAACCAUGGUAGGCAACUUUAUGUGCUUUUUAGAAUUUACCAUCCAGGAGACGUCAUACAUUUCUUUAUCUCAAUGACCGUAGGGUA
This 243-nucleotide long non-coding RNA is filed under the name Elaeis guineensis (African oil palm). RNAcentral describes it as "long non-coding RNA (EGUI_LNC064808)". Lineage: Eukaryota; Viridiplantae; Streptophyta; Magnoliopsida; Arecales; Arecaceae. The record is from RNAcentral.